AUGGCUCCCAGGUUGCUGGGAGCGGGGAGAAGACCCCCCUUUCUCUACUGUCCUGUAGGGUUUUUAUUCCUCUUAGUUGGCGGGGGUGGGCGUGGGGGGGCACCACCGUGGGAUCUGGAGAGCCGUGGUCUUCUCCCCUUGACCUUGUUCAAUUACCCUUAUCGGCCCUUGUCUACUAGGGCCCUGGGGCUGGAAACGUCCUCUCCGUCUCAUUUUUCUUCGUCCUUUUUGUCCGUAGACGGAGUCACGGGGCUUAGGGAUGAAUGUCCAUCUGGGAGCAGGUGCACUCCCUACCCUCAACAAGGCCCGUGGGGAUGCUCGUCCCCGGAGCCCUUAAGCCACAGGCGUUCAUCCGUGGCCACAUCGAAGAAGGUACGGAAGCCCCUGCUCCUGCACCGACGGCCUGGCUCCCGGCAACGCCGGAUCCUUAACCCACGGAGCGAGGCCAGAGAUGGAACCUGCAACCUCACGGUUCCCAGUCGGAUCCAUUUCCGCUGUGCCACGACGGGAGCUCCCUUUGUGUGCGUUUUGAAAUUAACGGCGAGCAGCCUACCCACAGCUGCCUCACCGACAGCACGGACAGGCGGUGAACACGUGUGUUGUGUGCCAUAG
This 612-nucleotide long non-coding RNA is filed under the name Sus scrofa (pig). RNAcentral's name for it is "lncRNA (ENSSSCG00030074900.1)". Lineage: Eukaryota; Metazoa; Chordata; Mammalia; Artiodactyla; Suidae. The record is from RNAcentral.